This 790-nucleotide ribosomal RNA is filed under the name Exocentrus alboguttatus. Its description in RNAcentral is "partial 12S ribosomal RNA". The record is from RNAcentral. Lineage: Eukaryota; Metazoa; Arthropoda; Insecta; Coleoptera; Cerambycidae.
AAUAAUACAAUUUAAUUUUUUUUAGUAUAAAUUAAAAUUAAUAAUAAAGAUUUAAUUAUAUUAUAAUAUAUUAAGUGAAAUUUUAUUUUAUUAAAUAAUUAAAUAAUUAAUAUUUAGAAAUUUAUAGUAUAAACUAGGAUUAGAUACCCUAUUAUUUUAAGUGUAAAAUUUAAUUAUUAAAUUAGUAUUAGGUAUGUUCUUUAAAAUUAAAAAAUUUGGCGGUAUUUUAGUCUAUUCAAAGGAACCUGUUUAGUAAUUGAUAAUCCACGAUUUAAUUAAUUUUCAUUAAAGUUUAUAUAUCGUCGUAAUUGGAAUAUUUUUUAAAAAUUUAAAUAUUCAAGGAAUAUUAUUAUAUAAAAAGUCAGAUCAAGGUAUAGCUUAUAUGUGAAUAAUAAUGGGUUACAUUAAUUAUAUUUUAGGAUUUAAAAUUGUAAAUUUUAAUGAAUUUGGAUUUGAUAGUAAUUUUAUUUAAUUAAGUAAAAUGAUUUUAGCUCUAGAAUAUGUACAUAUCGCCCGUCGCUUUCAUAAUAAUUUGAAAUAAGUCGUAACAAAGUAGAUUUACUGGAAAGUGAGUCUAGAAAACAAAUUAAAGCUUAAUAAAAGUAUUUUAUUUACAUUAAAAAGAAAAUUGUGAAAUUCAAUUUAGUUUGAAAUUUUAAUUAAUUAUUAAAGGUAAAAAUUUAAGUAUAUUUUAGUUAAGUUAUAAUUUUUAGUUUAAAAAAAUUAUGUUAAUAAUAGAUUAAGAGUAUUGUGAAAGAAUUUAUAUAAAAUUAAUAAAGAAGAAUUUAUU